ACCACAAGCCCAGGAAUUUUAAAAAGCUUCCCACAUGAUCUCCGUACUCACAUGCUUAUAUGGAAAGUACAAAAAGAACAUAUGGACGAGUGAGAAAUAUACUAGAGAAAACAAUCUCAACAGAACUGAAAAAUAUCUUUUAAAACAGACUUAACAAGAAUAUGUUUCUCCCCUUGGAAAAGGAAGAUAAAAUUCAUAGUGGAUAAGAAUACAAAUACUGAAUAUAUUUAAUGUAUUUUAGUUUGACCAAAGAUAGGUUUAUAAUGGUCAGCCAGAAGUAGCUGAAAGAAUGCUGAGAUUUAUUGAGCUUCUCUUCUAAAGAGAGAUAAAGCAACUAAAUUGAUAGUAAUUGGAUCUCGUGCUCCUCUGAAUGCCACUCAGCAGAAAAAGCUCAGACCCCUGAAAUGGCUUCGAGGUGAGUGACCAGCGAGGAGUCAGCCCACUUUGACAGACAUGGGCUGCACAGGAGCAUUCUGAGUCCUGAAGCUGGCCGCGCAUCGAGAUCACGAUCGAGACAGGAGUGUCCAGAUGACCAAGUUCACGCCUAUUUUUAUAUAGAACACUUGCAAUUAAGGGAGACAAAGACGCCACACAGAACCAUCUGAAUGUCUCUGGAACCACCGGCAUAGAAAACGUUAACUUUCACUGGCCAUUAAUCCAAAGACAGAUAAAUAACUCUACGGUGUGUUGUCAUCUGAAGGAUAACUUGGUUAUGUUCCUGGCAUUCCGACUAUCUUGAAGAACGGAGGAGGAACUGAAAGGAGGAAGGGAGAAGAAGAAAGUGAGGGCACACACACUAGGUUAACGGCAAGGCCAAGAAUUGAACACGAAUAUAUUCUCAUCAUGAAACCCAGAUUCCAAUGGCCAGUAACACCAACUUCAUAAGCAGAGAGUUUUCUCAAGGUGGUAGUGGAAGAGGACGUCAGAGACACUGCAAGUAUGAGGACGGUCUGACGACCUGCUGCUGACUUGAAGACAGAGAGGCUACGUGAAGAGAAAUGUGGGCAACCUUAAGAAGGAACGUAAGACAGCCCAGAAACAAGGACUGUGGUGCUACAACCGUGGACCUGGGUGGAAUGACGGUCCCCAAAGCGACACGUCUAAGCCCUAAACCCCAGGACCUGUGAAUGUGACCUUACUUGAAAAAACGGUCUUUGAGAAUGUAAUUAAGGAUCUUGAAAUAAGAUCAUCCUGAAUUCAGGGAAUGACAGAUGUCUUUUGAAGACAAAGGCAGAGGCAAAUUUGAGACAGACACACAGGAGAGAAGGCCAUCUGAAGACAGAGGCAGAGAUGUGAGUGACAGUGCCAUAAACCAAGGAUUGCGGGCCGCCAUCAGAGGCUAGGAGAAAGGCAUGGAUUCCACCUCACAGUCUCCAUAAGGAACCGACCCUGCUGAGCCUUGAUUUCAUUCUCCUGGCCUCUUGAACCGUGAAAGAAUGAAUUUGCUGUUUUAAGCCAGUCUUUGUGUGGUCAUUUGUUACAGCAGCCCUAAGAAACUAAUACAAACUGCAAGAAACCAUUCUGCCAGCAACCUGAAUGAGCCCAGCAGCAGAUUUUGCCCAGACUAUCCUAUCAGAUGGACACCUGAUUUCAGCAGCGUAAGAUCCUGAGCAAAGAAACACGUCACACUGCGUCAGGUUUCCGAGCUACAGAGCGUGACCUAACAAACAGAUGACUUAAGCUACUCAAUUCACGUUAAUUUGUUAUGUGUCACUAGAAAACGAACAGAAUAUAGAGUUUAAUUUUCUUGUAUUACAUUAAUUAAAACUUAUAAUCCAAAGUUAAA
Long non-coding RNA from Pteropus alecto (black flying fox), 1786 nucleotides. RefSeq lists it as uncharacterized. The record is from RefSeq and is a predicted model, not a curated record. The transcript is spliced from 3 exons. NCBI's taxonomy places the organism in Eukaryota, Metazoa, Chordata, Mammalia, Chiroptera, Pteropodidae.